This 429-nucleotide ribosomal RNA is filed under the name Actinomycetes bacterium. RNAcentral's name for it is "Actinobacteria bacterium partial 16S ribosomal RNA". It matches the Rfam family "Bacterial small subunit ribosomal RNA", at positions 355 to 776 of the family's 1533-position model. Lineage: Bacteria; Bacillati; Actinomycetota; Actinomycetes. The record is from RNAcentral.
UAGGGAAUCUUCUGCAAUGGGCGAAAGCCUGACGGAGCAACGCCGCGUGAGUGAUGAAGGUCUUCGGAUCGUAAAACUCUGUUAUUAGGGAAGAACAAAUGUGUAAGUAACUAUGCACGUCUUGACGGUACCUAAUCAGAAAGCCACGGCUAACUACGUGCCAGCAGCCGCGGUAAUACGUAGGUGGCAAGCGUUAUCCGGAAUUAUUGGGCGUAAAGCGCGCGUAGGCGGUUUUUUAAGUCUGAUGUGAAAGCCCACGGCUCAACCGUGGAGGGUCAUUGGAAACUGGAAAACUUGAGUGCAGAAGAGGAAAGUGGAAUUCCAUGUGUAGCGGUGAAAUGCGCAGAGAUAUGGAGGAACACCAGUGGCGAAGGCGACUUUCUGGUCUGUAACUGACGCUGAUGUGCGAAAGCGUGGGGAUCAAACAGG